GGAGUCGUAGUUCAGUUGGUUAGAACGCCAGCCUGUCACGUUGGAGGUCGCGGGUUCGAGCCCCGUCCGCUCCGCCA
RNAcentral lists this transfer RNA (77 nucleotides) under Chloracidobacterium sp. RNAcentral describes it as "tRNA-Asp". It matches the Rfam family "tRNA". Rfam says of the family: Transfer RNA (tRNA) molecules are approximately 80 nucleotides in length. Their secondary structure includes four short double-helical elements and three loops (D, anti-codon, and T loops). The record is from RNAcentral. Lineage: Bacteria; Pseudomonadati; Acidobacteriota; Blastocatellia; Chloracidobacteriales; Chloracidobacteriaceae.